This 195-nucleotide unclassified non-coding RNA is filed under the name soil metagenome. Its description in RNAcentral is "partial contains 5.8S ribosomal RNA, internal transcribed spacer 2, and large subunit ribosomal RNA". The record is from RNAcentral.
AAGACUAUAGACCUGCGGAGUACCUGCGGAAGGAUCAUUGAUGAAAUAGAAUAGAAUGGGUAUAGUAAUACACUGUACUAUUCUAUUCACUUCUCUAUACAUGUGAAGGACAGUAAUUCUGUUCCUAUACACAACAAUAAUCACUUGAUUUAUUUAAUAAUCUAUAAUCACUAAAACUUUCAACAACGGAUCUCU